RNAcentral lists this ribosomal RNA (301 nucleotides) under uncultured bacterium. Its description in RNAcentral is "partial 16S ribosomal RNA". It matches the Rfam family "Bacterial small subunit ribosomal RNA", at positions 509 to 807 of the family's 1533-position model. The record is from RNAcentral.
CAGCCGCCGCGGUAACACCGAGGGUGCGAGCGUUAAUCGGAUUUACUGGGCGUAAAGCGUGCGUAGGCGGCUUCUUAAGUCGGAUGUGAAAUCCCUGAGCUUAACUUAGGAAUUGCAUUCGAUACUGGGAAGCUAGAGUAUGGGAGAGGAUGGUAGAAUUCCAGGUGUAGCGGUGAAAUGCGUAGAGAUCUGGAGGAAUACCGAUGGCGAAGGCAGCCAUCUGGCCUAAUACUGACGCUGAGGUACGAAAGCAUGGGGAGCAAACAGGAUUAGAUACCCGUGUAGUCCCUGUCUCUUAUAC